This 490-nucleotide ribosomal RNA is filed under the name uncultured bacterium. RNAcentral's name for it is "bacterial SSU rRNA". It matches the Rfam family "Bacterial small subunit ribosomal RNA", at positions 29 to 509 of the family's 1533-position model. The record is from RNAcentral.
AGUGAACGCUGGCGGCAGGCCUAAUACAUGCAAGUCGAACGGCAGCACAGCAGAGCUUGCUCUGUGGGUGGCGAGUGGCGGACGGGUGAGGAAUACAUGGGAAUCUGCCCAGUCGUGGGGGAUAAUGUAUGGAAACGUACGCUAAUACCGCAUGCGCCCUAAGGGGGAAAGCCGGGGACCGCAAGGCCUGGCGCGAUUGGAUGAGCCCAUGUUCGAUUAGCUAGUUGGCGGGGUAAAGGCCCACCAAGGCGACGAUCGAUAGCUGGUCUGAGAGGAUGAUCAGCCACACUGGAACUGAGACACGGUCCAGACUCCUACGGGAGGCAGCAGUAGGGAAUAUUGGACAAGUGGGGCAACCCUGAUCCAGCCAUGCCGCGUGAGUGAAGAAGGCCCUCGGGUUGUAAAGCUCUUUGUCCGGAAAGAAAGCAAUCGGUUAAUACCCGGUUGUUCUGACGGUACCGGAAGAAUAAGCACCGGCUAACUUCGUGCC